Long non-coding RNA from Fundulus heteroclitus (mummichog), 265 nucleotides. RefSeq lists it as uncharacterized. The transcript has 2 exons. NCBI's taxonomy places the organism in Eukaryota, Metazoa, Chordata, Actinopteri, Cyprinodontiformes, Fundulidae. The record is from RefSeq and is a predicted model, not a curated record.
CACGGCCAGAGCCCGGCCAUGCGCCGCUGAGGGACGGUCAUGGCCUCGGCUGCAGCGGCGGUGCCCGGCCGCACAUAGUGGACUUCGUCAGAAAUAACAACCCAAGCCCUCAGGAACAGGAAGGACUCAUCGGGGUGGAGACUGAAGGCACAUUGUGGACUAAGCCGGUACUUCUUGCCGCCUGCUGAAGGAAUCAGUCAGCCGAGAUCUAAAGAAGAGAUGUAACCCACCUGUCACUGGCACUAAAUAAACAUGUAAUUCUGUU